UUUUGAUCAUUCAGUUCAUUUAUUAAAUAUCCACUAGGUUUCCAAUAGAUUUCCAUGUGAGUAAGUUUACUUUUAUUUGCUAAUUAAUGUGUUUCUACAUUACAUGAAAUUAUGCUAACAUUUCAGGAGAAAUUAUAGAAUUUAUCAGUAACACAGAUUAGCACACCUAUGUCAGUGAGGAACAAUGAGAAGUUUAUGUCACAUUACCAGCAUUUCACAAGUUUCUCAUUCUUGGAAGCAGUUAUUUUUAUAAGAGAUGGUACUGGAUAAGCUAAAUCUCAGAGAGGUGGCCUUAUGAACGAGAAGUGGCAUGUUCUUAAGUCUCUUAGAAAUCAACCCAUGCCUUUUUUAGAGGAUUUGCUGAGCACACAAUGUAUUAUUGCCUUUAUAAAAACUAACAUUCGAUAACAAAAUAUAUCAUGUAUAAUCUGCAUGAUAAAUAUUUUCUGUAUACCAAGGGAUAAUCAUAACAAAAAUCCUUCACUGAUAAAGUUCCUAAGGAAUUUCUAGAAUUAAAGUUAUAAAGCAAACAAAUUACUUCUCUGGUCCCGCCUAAGUCUACUGCAGUAAUACCAUUUAGACAUCUAGAAACAAAACUACAGUUUCUGCAAAUUAAACCUGCUUUAAAAGAUUUUUUAUUCAUAAAUAUGAUUUCUAUUAUAAGAAUGGAGACCUGGUCCUAUAAUGGAAUUCAAUAGGAAAAAAAAGAAUUAAUUUUAAGCUGGCCCUGCUAAACAUAUCCACUGUGUUGUACAAAGUUUCUGUAGUUGGAAGACUAGCCUUUCAAGAUGUGCCAAAUACACUCUGAUCUGUUAGGGUAGGGGGCGGGUAAGGAAUGCUUUAUUCCUCUCUGGCAUGCAAAGCUCAGGGUUACAAACUUUUGAUCAUCAGCCUGUCCAAAUUUCUACCAAG
Molecule: long non-coding RNA, 912 nt
Filed under: Bos taurus (domestic cattle)
Lineage: Eukaryota; Metazoa; Chordata; Mammalia; Artiodactyla; Bovidae
Description: long non-coding RNA NONBTAT012219
Source: RNAcentral